CCUACGGGAGGCUGCAGUCGAGAAUCAUUCACAAUGGGGGAAACCCUGAUGGUGCGACGCCGCGUGGGGGAAUGAAGGUCUUCGGAUUGUAAACCCCUGUCAUGUGGGAGCAAAUUUAAAAGAUAGUACCACAAGAGGAAGAGACGGCUAACUCUGUGCCAGCAGCCGCGGUAAUACAGAGGUCUCAAGCGUUGUUCGGAAUCACUGGGCGUAAGGCGUGCGUAGGCUGUUUCGUAAGUCGUGUGUGAAAGGCGCGGGCUCAACCCGCGGACGGCACAUGAUACUGCGAGACUAGAGUAAUGGAGGGGGAACCGGAAUUCUCGGUGUAGCAGUGAAAUGCGUAGAUAUCGAGAGGAACACUCGUGGCGAAGGCGGGUUCCUGGACAUUAACUGACGCUGAGGCACGAAGGCCAGGGGAGCGAAAGGGAUUAGAUACCCCUGUAGUC
This 446-nucleotide ribosomal RNA is filed under the name uncultured bacterium. RNAcentral's name for it is "partial 16S ribosomal RNA". It matches the Rfam family "Bacterial small subunit ribosomal RNA", at positions 338 to 795 of the family's 1533-position model. The record is from RNAcentral.